AUCAAAUGUCUGCAGGAAGAGACACAGGUUGCCUUUUGGGACCCCAGGGAAAAACACACCACCAGCUUAGCUCCUGGACCUUCCUCACUGUCCCCUCCCAUUCUAGCCUCCCUUGACCCAGAUGCCCUGCUGCUGCUGCCCUGGGUCUUGGGGCAGGCCCUGGGGACCCUGCAGCCCUGUUGAAUCCUGGCUUGAGCUCCUGAUCCUGCUCUUUUCCCCUUCGGAAUGUGCCUCUCCCUCCUCGCUGUCACCGUUCUCUGCGCCAUAUCUCCCGUAAUAAAAACCAGUCCUCGAGUGGCAUCUGUGCCCCUCCCAACAGUUUAGGGCCAUUAUAUUAAAUAAUGAUAAUCACAA
Molecule: long non-coding RNA, 354 nt
Filed under: Rattus norvegicus (Norway rat)
Lineage: Eukaryota; Metazoa; Chordata; Mammalia; Rodentia; Muridae
Description: long non-coding RNA NONRATT006313
Source: RNAcentral